This 215-nucleotide long non-coding RNA is filed under the name Elaeis guineensis (African oil palm). RNAcentral's name for it is "long non-coding RNA (EGUI_LNC046280)". The record is from RNAcentral. Lineage: Eukaryota; Viridiplantae; Streptophyta; Magnoliopsida; Arecales; Arecaceae.
AGAAGGGAAGAGUUCCUCUUUUAUGUCUAAGAAGAGACUUCAAAAGAAGUUGGAGCAGUCGCAAAAGCAUAAUCAAGAGAUGAAGAAUGAGAUUGUAGACAUUAAGGCACGGAUGGAGCAUCAACAAAAGAUUUUGGAAGCUUUAUGUGCAUCAUAGAAUAUCUCUUUAUCAGAUUUAUGACAUAAGUUACUUAAAUUAUUUUUUUAAUGUGUCC